ACUGACGUAAUGCGGCGUUUAAAUACUCCUGUCGCACAUCGUGAGGUUCUCUUUUCUCUGUCCGUUGGCCUAUGGGAGUUUCGGUCCAAAUACGAGCAAUGAGUAAAAGUUCAGCACUGGACCAUCAUGCCAGUGAACCUCCCAGUCACUUACUGGUCCACAGACUGGGGCAUCUGGUGCUGGGGAUGACCUUUAACCCUUAACCUGUCGACCCCGAAGCCCUUGGAUGUAAUGUGAUGGAUAAGCCAGCUGGGUUCAGCCGUCGGCCAUCUUUAAUGAGGUCACAGGUUUGGCAGAAAUGACUCGGACUGCGUCAGAAUGCAAGAUGGCGGCGGGAUGAGUUGCUCUUGGAGCUGGACAUCAUCUAAUGACUUUUCUGGUUCAACAGAAGCAUGUAUGUCGUAAAGUGACUUUUGAACAGGGAUUCUGUGUCACAGAUGCAGAUCAAAGCAGACGUGGACCAGCUGAGGGGAGUUUGCUCUGAUGCAUCAUCUUCUGAUUAAAACUAAAUGAAUGUCUUGUUGCAUGUACACGUAAUAAUUUGUUUGCAGAUUUUUCUUUUGUACAAAAAGAAAUAAAAGACAAAAGAAUC
Molecule: long non-coding RNA, 592 nt
Organism: Gambusia affinis (western mosquitofish)
Lineage: Eukaryota; Metazoa; Chordata; Actinopteri; Cyprinodontiformes; Poeciliidae
Exons: 8
Source: RefSeq, a predicted model, not a curated record